This 301-nucleotide ribosomal RNA is filed under the name uncultured bacterium. Its description in RNAcentral is "partial 16S ribosomal RNA". It matches the Rfam family "Bacterial small subunit ribosomal RNA", at positions 509 to 808 of the family's 1533-position model. The record is from RNAcentral.
CAGUCGCCGCGGGAAUACGUAGGUCCCGAGCGUUGUCCGGAUUUAUUGGGCGUAAAGCGAGCGCAGGCGGUUAGAUAAGUCUGAAGUUAAAGGCUGUGGCUUAACCAUAGUACGCUUUGGAAACUGUUUAACUUGAGUGCAAGAGGGGAGAGUGGAAUUCCAUGUGUAGCGGUGAAAUGCGUAGAUAUAUGGAGGAACACCGGUGGCGAAGGCGACUCUCUGGUCUGUAACUGACGCUGAGGAGCGAAAGCGUGGGGAGCGAACAGGAUUAGAUACCCGUGUAGUCCCUGUCUCUUAUACA